Triticum dicoccoides is the source of this 581-nucleotide long non-coding RNA. RefSeq lists it as uncharacterized. The record is from RefSeq and is a predicted model, not a curated record. NCBI's taxonomy places the organism in Eukaryota, Viridiplantae, Streptophyta, Magnoliopsida, Poales, Poaceae. The transcript is spliced from 2 exons.
CCCAGCCAAAGCUUGCAAAGCUCCAUCGAACGUCUUAUCAAGAAGCAUAGAAAUGGCUGCAAGGCUCCCACUUCUCCUUGGGGUCGUAUUGGUCGCUCUCCUGCUCGUCUCCCAGGAUGCAGCGCCUGCAGCAGAAGAAAAGAUGGCGCAACUUCCAGACGGGUAUGGUGGAUAUGGGCCUGGUUACCUAGGUGGCUACGACAACAACGGCGGAGGAGGAGCCGGUCAAAAUGGUGGUGAUGGUGGCAGCGGUUAUCCUUGAGGUGAAUAUUACGGGGUGACGGUCAAAAUGGUGGUUGUCACUCUAGAAACCAAAUAUAAAUGGUCUGUAUCUAUAUAUGAAAUAAGGAGUGUCUUCAUCUGCUCGAGCGUUUACGUGCUAGCAGGGCCGAUAUGAUAGUAUUGCGAGCUAGUAAAUGUCGUAUGAUCACUUGUGUAUGCAUGACAUAUGCUGACUUUUAGUUUUAGGUAUGGUGGCAACGGUGGGUCAUGCGUACAUGUAUUCGAACACAUAUCCAUAGGUGCACCUAUUUCCAGUUAGUUUAAGUUAAACAAACAUAUACAGUACUAGUUUAUGAACA